RNAcentral lists this ribosomal RNA (1341 nucleotides) under uncultured bacterium. RNAcentral describes it as "16S ribosomal RNA". It matches the Rfam family "Bacterial small subunit ribosomal RNA", at positions 28 to 1381 of the family's 1533-position model. The record is from RNAcentral.
GACGAACGCUGGCGGCGUGCUUAACACAUGCAAGUCGAACGGUAAGGCUCCAGCUUGCUGGGGUACACGAGUGGCGAACGGGUGAGUAACACGUGGGUGACCUGCCCUGCACUUCGGGAUAAGCCUGGGAAACUGGGUCUAAUACCGGAUAGGACCGCACCGUGAGGGUGUGGUGGAAAGUUUUUUCGGUGUGGGAUGGGCCCGCGGCCUAUCAGCUUGUUGGUGGGGUAAUGGCCUACCAAGGCGGCGACGGGUAGCCGGCCUGAGAGGGUGGACGGCCACAUUGGGACUGAGACACGGCCCAGACUCCUACGGGAGGCAGCAGUGGGGAAUAUUGCACAAUGGGCGGAAGCCUGAUGCAGCGACGCCGCGUGGGGGAUGACGGCCUUCGGGUUGUAAACUCCUUUCACCAUCGACGAAGGGUUUCUGACGGUAGAUGGAGAAGAAGCACCGGCUAACUACGUGCCAGCAGCCGCGGUAAUACGUAGGGUGCGAGCGUUGUCCGGAAUUACUGGGCGUAAAGAGCUCGUAGGUGGUUUGUCGCGUCGUCUGUGAAAUUCCGGGGCUUAACUCCGGGCGUGCAGGCGAUACGGGCAUAACUUGAGUACUGUAGGGGAGACUGGAAUUCCUGGUGUAGCGGUGAAAUGCGCAGAUAUCGGGAGGAACACCGGUGGCGAAGGCGGGUCUCUGGGCAGUAACUGACGCUGAGGAGCGAAAGCAUGGGGAGCGAACAGGAUUAGAUACCCUGGUAGUCCAUGCCGUAAACGGUGGGCGCUAGGUGUGGGUUUCCUUCCACGGGAUCCGUGCCGUAGCUAACGCAUUAAGCGCCCCGCCUGGGGAGUACGGCCGCAAGGCUAAAACUCAAAGGAAUUGACGGGGGCCCGCACAAGCGGCGGAGCAUGUGGAUUAAUUCGAUGCAACGCGAAGAACCUUACCUGGGCUUGACAUAUACAGGAUCGCGCCAGAGAUGGUGUUUCCCUUGUGGCUUGUAUACAGGUGGUGCAUGGUUGUCGUCAGCUCGUGUCGUGAGAUGUUGGGUUAAGUCCCGCAACGAGCGCAACCCUUGUCUUAUGUUGCCAGCACGUUGUGGUGGGGACUCGUAAGAAACUGCCGGGGUUAACUCGGAGGAAGGUGGGGAUGACGUCAAAUCAUCAUGCCCCUUAUGUCCAGGGCUUCACACAUGCUACAAUGGUCGGUACAGUGGGUUGCCAGUCCGUGAGGGCGAGCUAAUCCCGCAAAGCCGGUCUCAGUUCGGAUCGGGGUCUGCAACUCGACCCCGUGAAGUCGGAGUCGCUAGUAAUCGCAGAUCAGCAACGCUGCGGUGAAUACGUUCCCGGGCCU